UAACACCAACUCCCCGAGUGGUCCGGAUGAUUAUUGGGCUUAAAGCGUCCGUAGCCGGCUCAGUAAGUCUCCGGUCAAAUCUGGUGUCUCAAGCGCCAGACCGCCGGAGAUACUGCUGGGCUAGGGAGCGGGAGAGGCGGGCGGUAUUCCCUGGGUAGGGGUAAAAUCCUAGGAUCCAGGGAGGACCAUCGGGGGCGAAGGCGGCCCGCUAGAACGCGUCCGACGGUGAGGGACGAAAGCUGGGGGAGCGAUCCGGAUUAGAUACCCGGGUAGUCCCAGCUGUAAACGAUGCAGGCUAGGUGUGUGGGUGCCCUAGAGGUACCCAUGUGCCGAAGGGAAACCGUUAAGCCUGCCGCCUGGGGAGUACGGCCGCAAGGCUG
This 380-nucleotide ribosomal RNA is filed under the name uncultured archaeon. Its description in RNAcentral is "bacterial SSU rRNA". It matches the Rfam family "Archaeal small subunit ribosomal RNA", at positions 471 to 851 of the family's 1478-position model. The record is from RNAcentral.